This is a non-coding RNA of Schistosoma haematobium, 70 nucleotides long. NCBI's taxonomy places the organism in Eukaryota, Metazoa, Platyhelminthes, Trematoda, Strigeidida, Schistosomatidae. The record is from Rfam.
AGCCUCCUGAAUCCGUGAAGAGAUUUUGUCGGACAUCAGGACUGAUGAGACUCUCAAGAAAAGUGAAGCG